Molecule: ribosomal RNA, 310 nt
Filed under: uncultured eukaryote
Lineage: Eukaryota
Description: SSU rRNA
Rfam family: Eukaryotic small subunit ribosomal RNA
Source: RNAcentral
AGCUCCAAUAGCGUAUAUUUAAGUUGUUGCAGUUAAAAAGCUCGUAGUUGGAUUUCGGAUGGGCUUGACCGGUCCGCCGUUUGGUGUGCACUGGUCGUGCCUAUCUUGCUGCCGGGGACGCGCUCCUGGCCUUAAUUGGCUGGGACGCGGAGUCGGCGAUGUUACUUUGAAAAAUUAGAGUGUUCAAAGCAGGCCUAAGCUCUGAAUACAUUAGCAUGGAAUAACGCUAUAGGACUCUGGUCUUAUUGCGUUGGUCUUCGAGACCGGAGUAAUGAUUAAGAGGGACAGUUGGGGGCAUUCGUAUUUCAUU